Molecule: unclassified non-coding RNA, 253 nt
Filed under: Hevea brasiliensis (rubber tree)
Lineage: Eukaryota; Viridiplantae; Streptophyta; Magnoliopsida; Malpighiales; Euphorbiaceae
Source: RNAcentral
GUGUUUUUUUUUUUUUUUUAAAGACCUUGCUCACAGAUUCAUGAAUAAUUGUUAUGAUGUUGGCUUGGAGUUUCAACAAGAAGCUGAUAAAUCUACGCCCACAGCAGAUGGGUUUUGAAUGCAGAAAACUAAUGAUAGAUUAAUAGAAUCUCCACUUUAGUGUCAAUUAAUCUACUUAUAUAUGUGGACUUGUCAGUUUCUCUUGUUAAUGGGAAUAUUCAUAUGUGAAUUUGCUAGGUUUUUUUUUUUUUUU